This 601-nucleotide ribosomal RNA is filed under the name uncultured bacterium. Its description in RNAcentral is "bacterial SSU rRNA". It matches the Rfam family "Bacterial small subunit ribosomal RNA", at positions 26 to 635 of the family's 1533-position model. The record is from RNAcentral.
AGGAUGAACGCUAGCGGCAGGCCUAAUACAUGCAAGUCGAACGGUGAUAUUUAUAUCAUAGUGGCGCACGGGUGCGUAACACGUAUGCAACCUACCUAUUAUUGGGGGAUAGCCUUUGGAAACGGAGAUUAAUACCGCAUAAUACGAUUAACUGGCAUCGGUUGAUUGUUAAAGCAUUUGCGAUAAUAGAUGGGCAUGCGUCCAAUUAGUUAGUUGGUGUGGUAAUGGCUCACCAAGACAAUGAUUGGUAGGGGAUCUGAGAGGAUAAUCCCCCACACUGGCACUGAGAUACGGGCCAGACUCCUACGGGAGGCAGCAGUAGGGAAUAUUGGGCAAUGGGCGGAAGCCUGACCCAGCCAUGCCGCGUGCAGGAAGAAGGCGUUAUGCGUUGUAAACUGCUUUUUUAUAGGAAGAAGGAUCCCUUGCGAGGGAAGGUGACGGUACUAUAAGAAUAAGCACCGGCUAACUCCGUGCCAGCAGCCGCGGUAAUACGGAGGGUGCAAGCGUUGUCCGGAUUUAUUGGGUUUAAAGGGUGCGUACGCGGUUUAUUAAGUCAGUGGUGAAAGACGGUCGCUCAACGAUUGCAGUGCCAUUGAUACUG